ACUAAAUAGAUACCCCGGUAGUCCACGCCCUAAACGAUGUCUACUAGUUGUCGGGUCUUAAUUGACUUGGUAAACGCAGCUAAACGCGUGAAAGUAGACCGCCUGGGGAGUACGGUCGCAAGAUUAAAACUCAAAGGAAUUGACGGGGACCCGCACAAGCGGUGGAUGAUGUGGAUUAAUUCGAUGCAACGCGAAGAACCUUACCUACCCUUGACAUGGAAGGAAUCCCUGAGAGAUCGGGGAGUGCUCGAAAGAGAACCUUUACACAGGUGCUGCAUGGCUGUCGUCAGCUCGUGUCGUGAGAUGUUGGGUUAAGUCCCGCAACGAGCGCAACCCUUGUCAUUAGUUGCUACGAAAGGGCACUCUAAUGAGACUGCCGGUGACAAACCGGAGGAAGGUGGGGAUGACGUCAAGUCCUCAUGGCCCUUAUGGGUAGGGCUUCACACGUCAUACAAUGGUACAUACAGAGGGCCGCAACCCGCGAGGGGGUAGCUAAUCCCAGAAAGUGUAUCGUAGUCCGGAUUGUAGUCUGCAACUCG
This 539-nucleotide ribosomal RNA is filed under the name uncultured bacterium. Its description in RNAcentral is "bacterial SSU rRNA". It matches the Rfam family "Bacterial small subunit ribosomal RNA", at positions 772 to 1314 of the family's 1533-position model. The record is from RNAcentral.